RNAcentral lists this long non-coding RNA (2381 nucleotides) under Malus domestica (apple). Its description in RNAcentral is "long non-coding RNA (MDOM_LNC010970)". Lineage: Eukaryota; Viridiplantae; Streptophyta; Magnoliopsida; Rosales; Rosaceae. The record is from RNAcentral.
GUUUCAUUGUAUUACAUUGGCUCCGUAAGCGUAAGAAGCUCUCUUUAUAUUACAAACUAUACAACUAAUAUCUAAUACCCUUAACUACAUGUUCCCACCUCACUUGACAACAUUUAAUGUGAGGAGUAAUUAACAUUGACAAUUGCCAUGUCCAUGUUGACAGACAACAACUUCUUUUAUUGACAAUAGCAACUCUUGUUGACACGUCCCCUCGAGUUGGUGCAUAGAUGUCGUGAAUGCCCAACUUGCUCAAUGAGCUGUGAAAUAUUGUACUUGUGACUGCUUUGGUGAGCAUGUCUGCUAAUUGAUCUUCAAAUUUACGAAUGGAACUUCAAUGAGUCUUGCCUCAAGUUUUUCUUUAAUAAAAUGUCUAUCCACCUCCACAUGUUUAGUUCGAUCAUGUUGAAUCGGUAUGUAAGCAAUGUCAAUCGGAGCCUUGUUGUCACAAUGUAGACGCAUAACAUGCUUGGGCCUAAAUCCCAAACUCUCAGUAAGUUCCUCACCCAAAGCAGUUCACAUACUCUAUGUGCCAUGCUCUAGUAUUCUGCUUCAGCACUUGAUAUAGCAACGACCUUUUGUUUCUUACUACCCAAGAGACUAGAUUUCCACCAACAAUAACAAAGUAUCCUGAUGUUGAUCGUCUGUUAGUUACAUCACCAGCCUAAUCAGCAUCAGUGUAGCCUUUAACGUCUAGAUGAUCAUGUUUUGAAAACAUUAAUCAUUUCCCAUGAGCUGACUUUAAAUAUCUCAAGAUACAGUUUACAGCAUCCAUGUGUGUUUCGCUUGGUGCAUGCAUAAACUGGCUCACCAUGCUAACUGCAUAUGCUAUAUCUAGUCUAGUAUGUGCAAGAUAUAUUAGUUUACCAACAAGUCGCUGAUAUCUCUCUUUGUUGGUAGGUAUCUGAUUAGGAUAUUCACAAGUUUGUGAUUCAACUCAAUUGGGGUAUCUACUGGUUUGCAUGAUAGCAUCCCGGUUUCCGUCAAAAUAUCAAGAACAUAUUUCCGUUGUGAUAGAAAUAUUCCUUGUUGUGAGCGGGCCACAUCAAUGCCCAAGAAAUACUUUAAGGCACCGAGAUCUUUCAUCUCAAAUUCACUUGCUAGAUACUUUUGCAGUGCUGGCUUCUCUUUUGAAUCAUUUCCUAUAACCACCAUGUCAUCCACAUAUACAAUAAGAGCAAUGAUUUUAUAUUUCUUAUGCUUUAAGAAAAGAGUAUGAUCUGAGUUGCUUUGCUUGUAUCUAAAGAUUUUCAUCGAUUUGGUAAAUUUCACAAACCAAGCUCUUGGUGAUUGUUUUAAACCAUACAACGACUUUUUUAGUUUACAAACGUUGUUGGUCUGAUUGGGAUCCAGCUUGCAUCCUGGGGGAAGCUCCAUGUAAACUUCUUCUUCUAAAUCUCCAUGCAGGAAAGCAUUUUUGACAUCAAAUUGUUGUAAAGGCCAGUCAAGGUUUGCUGCUAGGGAUAAGAGUACACGAAUAAUGCUGAUCUUAGCUACAAGGCAAAAGUCUCUUCGUAGUCAAUGUCGUAUGUUUGCGUGUAGCCUUUUGCCACUAAUCUUGCUUUGUAUCGCUCAAUAGUGCCAUCUGCAUUGAAUUUUACAUUGUAUAUCCACUUGCAACCAAUUGCUCUCUUCCCCUUGGGUAGGUUAGUUAACUCCCAAGUAGAAUUUUUCUGGAGUGCUUCCAUUUCUUCAUUCAUUGCACGAGUCCCCCUAGGAUCAUUCAUAGCAUCCUCUACACUACAAGGAAUAGAUACAGUGGAUAAUUGAUUUACAAAUGCCUCACAUGAUGUAGAUAGCCUAUGGAAAGACACAUGGUUAGCAAUUGGGUAUUUAACCUUGGCUCUAGGAUCAAGAUCAUACAACUGUUUAGGAAUCCCUCAAGAUUUUCGAGGGGGAAGUUGAUAUUUAGUGGACUCAAUUUGACUUGACUCAGGUAUGAUCUCAUCAGAAAUAGAACUUCAUCAUCACUAGCCAUUGUAUAGGCUUAAGAUCAGUGAAGUUGAAAUAAAAGAUGAAACUGAUAUGGGAAAAAAUGAAGAAUAAUUUGCUUAUGAUGGUAAUCGAGAUAUGACUUUGGCGAAAGCUUUUUCUGGUUUUGAGGUUCAAGAGUCAGUCAUGAUCGACUGCCCCGAUACCAUCUCAGAAAUAAUGGGUUUGUGGGUCAAUUUUCUUGUUUCAUUGUAUUACAUUGGCUCCGUAAGCGUAAGGAGCUCUUUAUAUUACAAACUAUACAUCUAAUAUCUAAUACCCUUAACUACAUGUUCCCACCUCACUUGACAACAUUUAAUGUGAGAGUAAUUACUGCCAUGUCCAUGUUGACAGACAGCAGCUUCUUUUGUUGACAAUAGCAGCUCCAGCAGCUCUUGUUGACAUAAGCCUCG